CAGAUUAAGCAGAAGCCGUCCGCUUCUCACCUUACAAGACGCACAGUUACUAAGGUUAUAUGUCGGUCAUAUAUGAGCGGGCAGCUAUGCUGUUCGCUCUUUUUUUGCGGA
Molecule: regulatory RNA element, 111 nt
Organism: Megasphaera micronuciformis F0359
Lineage: Bacteria; Bacillati; Bacillota; Negativicutes; Veillonellales; Veillonellaceae
Rfam family: Ribosomal protein L20 leader
About the family: This family is a putative r-protein leader autoregulatory structure found in B. subtilis and other low-GC Gram-positive bacteria. It is located in the 5' untranslated regions of mRNAs encoding initiation factor 3 followed by ribosomal proteins L35 and L20 (infC-rpmI-rplT).
Source: Rfam